GCAGGGAGCAUCCAAAGGGAUCGCAUUGAUCCCUUGAGGCACGUUUACUUCAUUGACAGUAAUCGGAUCAUGCGAUCUUUUUGGAUACCUCCU
Molecule: microRNA precursor, 93 nt
Filed under: Musa acuminata subsp. malaccensis (wild Malaysian banana)
Lineage: Eukaryota; Viridiplantae; Streptophyta; Magnoliopsida; Zingiberales; Musaceae
Description: mir-393 microRNA precursor family
Rfam family: mir-393 microRNA precursor family
Source: Rfam by way of RNAcentral